UGAGUGAACUUAUCAGCAGGC
Molecule: non-coding RNA, 21 nt
Organism: Caenorhabditis elegans
Lineage: Eukaryota; Metazoa; Nematoda; Chromadorea; Rhabditida; Rhabditidae
Source: Ensembl